Molecule: long non-coding RNA, 262 nt
Organism: Ornithodoros turicata
Lineage: Eukaryota; Metazoa; Arthropoda; Arachnida; Ixodida; Argasidae
Exons: 3
Source: RefSeq, a predicted model, not a curated record
CCCGCUCCUCCCGCCAUGCACUCAUAACCGACAACUCUGCCUCGGAAACAACGGCGAGGCACCGUUCGAAAUGCGUUCCCUGAAAGAUGGCAAACCAACGCGGAGACUAACAAUAUUCCGACUAGCCAGGUCACCAUGCUACAAUGUGUCGAACAUUGUGCGCGCCCCACUGGAUGACAGUGACAAUCCAGACUUCUUUGACUUCGUGAUUUCAUAUGUUGAAUGUGGCCGGUGCGUCGUCACGAUGUUACCUACAAUUAGC